This is a long non-coding RNA of Hipposideros armiger (great roundleaf bat), 570 nucleotides long. RefSeq lists it as uncharacterized. The transcript has 2 exons. The record is from RefSeq and is a predicted model, not a curated record. NCBI's taxonomy places the organism in Eukaryota, Metazoa, Chordata, Mammalia, Chiroptera, Hipposideridae.
GCCGUCUGCACAGCUGCUGUGGCCUCUCCCUUUUCUCCCCUCAGGCGUGGACACUGACGAGCUGGACAGCAACGUGGACGACUGGGAGGAGGAGACCAUCGAGUUCUUCGUCACUGAAGAAACUAUUGCUCUUGGGAGCCAGGAGUGACCCGAGAACACUGUGCGUCACCUGUGCUGGAACCGAGGUCGCCCUCUUGCAAACAGCCCGCACAAGUCCUGAAUUCUGCCUGUGCUUUCCCGCUCUGGACUGACUGCCCCUGGGAUUCCGGCUCCACACAUAGUUGUGCCUUUCAACCCCCGGUGUCUUCAGUGGGGAGGUUUCAAGGCACUGCUUUAAUCUUUCUCGUUUGGGUUUUAAUCUCCACCCGUGUUUGUUACUCAGACGGAUGCAGCGCUGCGGCAGGCCCCUUUCCUCCUGCUGUCGCACUGCCGCGUGCGGCGUCCCCUCAAGGACUCACUGUCCAUGUGCGUGGCCAGUGUCGGCCACGUCCCAGCGUGUUCGGGGGCGCCGCAGCGCGUGGUUCUCUAAACGGGCUGAACGUGGAAAUAAAAGCAAACGUGUGAAAAAGC